RNAcentral lists this ribosomal RNA (253 nucleotides) under uncultured bacterium. RNAcentral describes it as "partial 16S ribosomal RNA". It matches the Rfam family "Bacterial small subunit ribosomal RNA", at positions 524 to 776 of the family's 1533-position model. The record is from RNAcentral.
GACGAAGGAUGCAAGCGUUAUCCGGAUUCAUUGGGUUUAAAGGGCGCGUAGGCGGCCUUGUAAGUCAGUGGUGAAAUCUUUCCGCUUAACGGAAAAACUGCCAUUGAUACUGCUUGGCUUGAGUACAGAUGCUGUGGGCGGAAUAUGACAUGUAGUGGUGAAAUACAUAGAGAUGUCAUAGAACACCGAUUGCGAAGGCAGCUCACAAAACUGUAACUGACGCUGAGGCUCGAAAGUGUGGGGAUCAAACAGG